AUGUCGCUUAAUUAAUAUUCUGUCAGAUUACUUGGGGUUCGGGUAGGUCUUAUAUAACCAUGGGGCGUCCUUAACGAGAAAAAGGUUGAGAAGUGCUGUACACGGUGGGUGGAGAGGGGACUGUCGAUGCUUUAGACAUGAAACACUACCACUGUCUCACCUCAAGUUUUGUUUUAAUCACACAAUCCUAUACCUACCAGCAUGAUCUGACAAACAUAUCUCGUCCUAGAUUCAAAGAUGUUUCCACGAUCUACGUAGUGACAGUUUAACAAAGAUUGCAUCAUCAAAGGGAAACACGUGGGAAUCAAAAUGAUCACUGAGGCUUUGAAGAGUGUGUUGAGUAGUGCGGGAUGCUCCACGUGGCAUUCAUCAACAAAGUGAUCUCAGUCAAAUUGUUAUCUUUCAUUGUCUUCACGUAAUGAACCACGGACUUUGCUCUCGUAUAUUUCGACUUGUUACCUUAUCUCUAUAGUUGCUUUCGUGGUUAUUACGAUCCGCAAGUGUUUUCGUAACUCUACUGACAAUCCGACAAGAAUUUUAUAUAAUGAAUAAGAAAAAACUAUUGAAACUAGAAAUAAACACACACACACAGACAACUCAGCAAAUUUAAGCUUGGUGCAAAUUAUGGGGCAGGGAAUACAGCACAGAGCAGGGUCAGAAAACUGCAUCUUAGUGUUUUAAAUUAAGUGCACAAGUUACCAUGCACUUUCUUAAUGAGCCCAACCUUAUGCCCCUAUUUUUUUGUAGAGUGCUUGUUCAUUGAUCUAAGACUGUGUUGAUGCAGACAGGAUUUUUUAAGUAGGACUCAUUCCAUCCCAUUGGUGGCAUCUCUGAUGCACACAGAUGAAGCAAGGUUGAUAACAACAGUGUGAUAUUAGUAUUACUUCUUCAGGGUAAUGAUUCAGCUCAUACUAUAAGUAUUACCCCAUCAUAAUAAUAUAUCAUUGUAAUAUAUUAUUACAAAUCCUUGUGCUUUAUUGUUCAUGCUUUCAGGUGUGUGCCUUGCUACAUAACAUAUGCAAGGACAGGAACAUCCCUGAACCAGAUGCAGAAGGGGACAUUGGUGAGGGAAUUGAUGGUGACCCUGACCCACCUGCCCCACAGCCACCUGUAGGUGCACGUCCCCUUGAAGGCCUCCUCUACAGGGAUGAAUAUGUCAACCUUUACUUCCAAGAUGAUGCUGAACCUAACCCACAUGUUGGUGCCUAACUAGUACCACCCUGUACUUCAGGCAGCAUUAACACUCAGUACUGUUAAUGGUCUGUCUAUCUUUGUGUCUCAUCGCUUUAUGUCUUAGCUGGUUGGCCACUUCAUCAUCCACCAAGAGGGUGGACGUCUUGACAGCAGCAGGAGGUGCUGCUGUGUUGGGUGUUGGAAGUGCCGUGGUAGCAUUUCUAUCUGUAUUAUGACCAAUGACAAUAAAUAUUAGUGAAACCAUCACAAGCAUAUUUAUUGCAGAUCUACCUAUCUAUGUAAGAGGUGAACAACCCUCUCAAGGAGGAAGGUACCCAAGACAAGGCAACCUCCCCUCUCCCUGCCCCCACACAGUGUGAGUGUAUAUGGUGCCUAUGUGCAUGUGUGGUUCUCUCAUUUUGGCUAUCCUCCUCCUGGAGUAGGGUGUUCAAUCAAUCAAUCAAAAAUGGGGGGCAUACGCCAUGGGACGUCACCUCACCUAGUAGGGUGUUGGCUUUGUCUAUACAUAGACAGUGUUUUCAUGUCCCUGCACUUCAGUUUUAAAAAUAUUUUGUAUGCUGUAAUUGAUAUUUUCAGCAAGAAAAUAAAGUACUGUUACUGUGUUGCCAUAAACACACCUUCCAUAAUUGAAUAUCAACAUUGGAAAUUCUUCAAAUCAACAAGACCCAUCUAUUUCAUUGGGUUAAGUUAUAUAUUUUACUGAAGUAAUAUUUUGUUAGUUUGGGGUUAAAGUCAGGCAUGUUUAAGCUGGCAUAAGUUGUACUUUACAUCUGGAAGCAUUGAAUAUAAUAAAUGGAUAGUUUGUUGCCUGUGUUUCUCCAAAGUUAAGCAGAAUAUUUAUAAAGAAAGGCAGGUGGAGCUAUGGAGUGUUGGAGGGAGAGUGAAUGUGAGGUAUAGGAGGGUAUGAGAGAAGUGGUGUGGUGUGCGGCAAAUGAGAAAAGCAAAGAAGUGGAUAAAAAAGGGUGUGCUCCCUUAAUGUCUCCUAUGAUGUGGGAAGAUAUACAAGACUGGAAUGGUUAACUUUCCAAACACAAGAUGAUCCAUGUGUGUAUGGAAUGAUUAACGAACUCAAAUUCUGCAUUCUCAUUUUUCAUUGGGGAGAACCAGUGACAGCAACAGUGUCCUCCCCAAGGGUGUCAAGCAAGCACCAUCUUGAUAUCGAUCAAGAGGCUUGGGAGGUGGACUGCCUCCUAGAUCAAAUAGACCCAUUAGGAAAGUGGUCACUAAUGUUCAAUGCUUCACUACUGGCUUUCAUAAAGGAUAGCAAUGUAGGCUUUCCUAUCCAAGGGGAAAAAAAUCAAUAAUGCCUUGCAGGCUUGCUGCCUUAUUGUGCUUGUCUAAAGUUUUCUUUUUACUUGAGUACCUUAUAUAGGUUUGUGCAAGAAAAGCCAGUUUUACUUUACAAGUGCACAGGAAUAUCCCACCUCUAUUUUUCCAUUACAGAUUGAUGCAUCUCAUUAUUGUGAAUAUUUCCAUCCCUAGACACACCUAUAAAUUAAUAUCAACAAAGGAAAUUAUUCUUGAAAUCAGUGUAUUCUAAGUAGUUACAUUGUUAGUUUAAGUUAGGUUACUUAAGUUAGGUUGCUAGAUUGAAGUUACUGAUAUGCAGCAGCAAUUAUGAUCAGUCAUUAAAAAUAUCAAACUAUAGGAAAUAUGAUAUCUUGGCAUCACCUGGAAAGAUGUCCAUGUGUUGUGUGUGCGCUCCGUUUUUGGCUGUGGUUUUUAUAGUUAGCGAGUGG
This 2933-nucleotide long non-coding RNA is filed under the name Portunus trituberculatus (swimming crab). Its description in RNAcentral is "uncharacterized LOC123518260". Lineage: Eukaryota; Metazoa; Arthropoda; Malacostraca; Decapoda; Portunidae. The record is from RNAcentral.